This is a long non-coding RNA of Cuculus canorus (common cuckoo), 2927 nucleotides long. RefSeq lists it as uncharacterized. The record is from RefSeq and is a predicted model, not a curated record. NCBI's taxonomy places the organism in Eukaryota, Metazoa, Chordata, Aves, Cuculiformes, Cuculidae. The transcript is spliced from 8 exons.
GGGGGAAAACUCAUAUAUUUAAAAUGUGUGUGUGUGCAUCUGUAUGCGCCUGUGUGCGUGUAUAUAUAUAACUAUCCAUCCUUUUUUCCACAUGAAGUUUAUGGAGUUUGGAACACUGAAUGUGGGAGCUCAGGGACUACUAUACUAAGGACAAUUGAGAAAACUAAGUUUCGUCCCAUUGCAUGUGCCUGUCUUUGAUCUCAAAUUGAAAGUCUCUGAGCCUCUUCUUCCACUCCAAAAGCAAAUAAAUAGUGAGAGAAAGAAACCUCUCUCCUCUCAGCACAUAGGGCCUCCGCGGCUGAAAAAUGAAGGUGACUGUUAGUCCGCGGCUGAAAAAUGAAGGUGACUGUUAGAGCUCUGAUGAACCUGUUUGGACAACAGACAGCAACAAAUACCUGUCUCAGUGGAGGAGUUUAAGAGCACUGCAGAGAUCCUCAGACAGUACAGAAUAUCUUGGCAGACAGAGGCUACUCUCUUUAUCUCAAAACAAUACCAGCCAAGCUCCUCUGUACCUACAACUGAACAGCUGCAGGAACAGGACAAGAGUAACCAACACAGCUUUUAAAUUUGAAUCUGCUUGUUUUAUUUUUAGAAGAAGAAAUAAAGGAAAAGACACGAAUUCUAUGCAAGAUGAGGUAUCUGAUUCCAAGGAAGAAAACUCUGCACAGCAGGUUGAAGCUACAGGGCCAUUCCUGACUGGUUUUUCUCUAUCCGGCUGCUUUACUUAUGGUCCUUCGAAACCAGCAGUUCCUGUGGAUCUGCGCUUAAAGUGGAUUUGCUGACAGAGCAGCGAAGGUACCUCUUCUGCUCUGCAGACGCUGGGGGCUCACUGAGCCGUUGCCAACCCUUGACAGCGAGACCAUGCUGAGCAGUGGGGCUGUGGCGCGCCUCUUCCUGCAUCCCAGGGGAGCCUGCUGCCGAAUGUGGCAAAACCCUCCAGAGGGUAACACAGUGGAUGAUUGAUUGUACCCGCCAGCUGGCUAACAUCAUAAUUAACAAAGUUGCUACCAUGUCUGAGAAGUUUAAUCGAAAAAAUUGCUGGCAGUAUGAUGGCAUUGUCACAGAGAUCACAAGCGCUGUGGUGUCGACUUUUGUAGUGGUAGUAAAGCCGCAAGACUAUGUAGAUGUACUGCGAAGUCGUUCACUGGGAUAACUAAAGUGAGAUGUGAUUGCAGACGGCGCAUGACUGGGCUCCGGUAGAACUGGCCAGUGGCAACCUGUCUGUGCUCUGCUCAUCACUGCUGGAGCAGCUACGCCACGCGAACGCUGAGUUUGAGAGGAGCAAUGAACCACUACAUGCAGGAAUGUCAGCAGGAAUGCAUGGAAGCAAGUCAGCAGGGUUUAGCUGGUGGAUCACAUUGUGAAAUCUGCAGCCAUGAAAGUCCCUCCAUUUAUUGCACUCUUCAAAACGAAAUAUUAGCAUGGGAGGCUAAGCCGGAGGCUAAUAACGAAGGAGUCAGUGAAGGAGACCAAUGCCAUGAGGGUUAUCUCACAGCCCCAGAUGCUGGAUAAGUUGAAGGAGGCAGAAACGCUUUUGGAUGACAUUCAGGAAGGCCAUGAAUGAUUAUGUGGUGAAGAAAAGACUGUUCUUCCCAAGGGUUUUUUUCUCUCAAUGCAGCAAUUAUCUCUCAGGAAUGCUUUUUGAGACAAAGGAUCUACUCUAUGUCCAACCACACCUAAGGAAAUGCUUUGAAGGAAUUGCCAAGCUCACUUUUAAUCAUGAGAAAGGAAUUACCCACAUGGAGUCAGCAGAAAAUGAAAAAGUAGAGCUCGUGCUGUGAAUAAUUCCAGCAAGUGCCAAGGGGCUAGUUGAGAAAUGGCUUCAUGAGGUGAAUAUCUUUAGCUCUUACUUAGGCUUUAGUUACUGUAUAAUCAUUUUCUCUUUUAGGAGCAAUGAAUAUCAUAAGCAUAUUUCCUAACUAAAUGGCUCUCUGAAUUGUUUGUCAAGAUGUUGACAGAUUUCAGCUUUAUUGUUGUUAUUUAUUGCAACUUAUUUAGCAUCUGCAAACAUGCAGAAAUUAAUUCUAAUAAAAAGCUUUGAGUCAGUUUGUCAGCUGAAAUGGGUCUGUGUCUGAAGCCAUAUGUGUGAAUAUAUGUUUGAGUCUACAUGUAUGUGGUUUUGUGCUUUCAUGGUUUAAUGUCUGUAGUCCAGAAGGAUAAUGUUUAAAAGGCAAUCAAAGAAAUGUAAGAUUUUGAGUGCUUCCCACCCUGCAGAACAUGUGUCCUAUUGUGUUGGAGCGGUUUAAUUUCCAAUCAUUUUAACAAAAGGGAAGAGAAAUUGUGUCACUGAUAACACUCUAACCUUUCCCCUUUGGGCCUGUCAAUCAAGUUCAUUCAUUUCAGUACAGAAUUAGUUUGGUGACCUUUUUUUUGUUUGCUAUUUUUACCUUGCCAACAGAGGAAAGGCAAUGCACCCUUUAGUUGUUUUUUGUCUCUGGCCCAAACUCCUAUUUUUUUUCCCAUGUGCUUCCCUAGCUUUGUUUUUUGGACUAGUUUAAAGCACAAAGUUAUCUUAGUAGCCAAGGAUAAAAAAAUAAUAAGAAGGAGCUACGGACCUGCAAUGGGUAAGUUGCAGUCCUGAGGAGUCCAGAAAAAGCCCAAAUUAUCAGUACAUCAAACCUAAAAUUUGCUUAUAUACUUUUUAGUUUUAAUCUUCUUCCACAAGUGAAAUAGAGUUGGAGAAGGUGAGCAGCUGUGUUUAUUUCAAUACGUCUCAUUUAACCUUCAGCUAAAAACAAAUUGGAAGGUUUGGGAGUGCAUUAAUGUGGACCCAAUUAGUGUCUCUUUCUCCCUCAAAAGUGCAACCUGAGAUCAAUGAAUAUAAACUAGAGUUUCAUAUGCAGUCUUUAAAUCAUUUGCAUGUUUUAUGCAUGAUAAUUGAAUUUAUUUAUGCACUUCCUUUCAUUUAAUGAUUUCUUGCUCUUUUC